Passer domesticus (house sparrow) is the source of this 1880-nucleotide long non-coding RNA. RefSeq lists it as uncharacterized. The record is from RefSeq and is a predicted model, not a curated record. The transcript has 5 exons. NCBI's taxonomy places the organism in Eukaryota, Metazoa, Chordata, Aves, Passeriformes, Passeridae.
CUUGUGCAGCAUCGACGGCCUCCAGCUCAGGACACAACGCACCUGGGGCAGAGGGAUGGCCACCAGCAGAUCUCGGCCUUGCCAUAGAGAAAAUGAUCCGGGAGAUCAGGAGAUCCCUGCCCGAAAGGUCUCCCUCUGCUCAGGAUGAUGUUAGUGUUGCCCCUGAGUCUUCAGGAGGGGAGCCUGUAGACAGAGCUGCAGCAGAGGAAAUUUCAUCUGACACGGAGAGCUGCAGGAACAGUUCCCCAGAGCCCGAAGAGCCUGAUCCCAUGUGAUCGACCUCUCCAGGAGGGCUGGCCUGUGUAGCAGGAAGAGACAGAGGGAGAGCCUGGAACAUCGGGCAAGUUGACUUCCUCUGUCUCUAGUUAUAUUUAUAGAUGUAUAUAGUUAUCUUUGUUUAUCUAGGUAGUUGUAUUUAUAGAUUUAUGUAAUUAUAUUUAUGUAUCUACACAGAUAGAGAUCUGCACAGUUAAUUUCUUUUUCAUUUUAGAUGUUUAUCGUUAUAGCUUUAGAUGUGUUUUUGUAGGUGUGCACGUUUUCAUUUAUACGUGUGUAUAAUUACAUGUACAUAUAUAUAUUUCUAAAUGCAUAUUUCUAUUUUAUAUGGGGUUUUAGCUACAUAGAUUGAUAUGUGUGUGAGCCUCUUUUUAAGCUCUUACCCUGGUCUGCUUCCUCGCUCACCUCUGGCUUUUCCCCCUGUGCCCCCUGUGUCCCCUCUCCCUGGGCUGGGUCCGAGCUGGCGGCCGGGCCGGGCGCAGCAGCAGUUCCUGCCCCGGAUGUCCCUGGAGUGCUGGGAGCUGCCGGUGGCCCCAGGCACUGUCCCCUGAGGAGCUGCUGAAGGACGCUGCAAUGAAGACCACGAGGACCGCCGGAGACUGCAGGGAGCCAGCAGGGAGAAGCCGAGGGCCAGCAGCAGGAGCAGUGAGUGGGGCCCUGCUGCUGCCAGCCUGGAGAGGGCUUGGAUGUCCCAUCUGCUGUCCCUGUCCAGGAGAGCUGCUCUGCCUGGAGGAGGAGACCGAGGGAGCGGCUUCAAAGAUGGGGCAGCUGAGAUUCCUCUGCUUCGAGUUCCAUUUAAAGAGUCUGGACUUGCACAUAGAGAGGGAUAUGUACAUAUGUAGGCUUCUAUUUGUAUGGGAAUAUUCCUAUAUGUAUGUUAUUAUAUUUAUGUUUUUAUGGAUGUAUUACAUGUAUAUGUAUGCAUAUAUUUACAUAUAUGUUUAUAAUUACAUCUAUGUGUACAUGUAUGUGUCUCAGUAUACAUGUAUGUUGUUGUAUCUGUUUAAUUUCCUAGGUUUACAGCUGUGUAGGUAUCUAUUUGUGUUUAUGCAGUUAUAGGUAUAUGUAUCUUUAAAUGUUGUAUUGGAAUUUGUAUUGGUCGAUAUGUCUGUUUUUAUAUUUUUAAUGUAUAUUGAUCUAUUUCUUUCUAUUUAAUGAUAUUUACAUAUGUGUCUAGAUGUAUAGCAGUAUGUUUGUAUUGAUACAGUUGUGUGUAUGUUUGGAUUGAUGAUAUUUUUAUACUUAUAGAUAAGUUUGUUUUAUAUAUCUACUGAUAUAUAUAUAUUGUAUGUAAUAUGUAAUGUUUAUAUUUACAUCUGUAGAUUUUUAUACUUUUAUAUGUAUUUAUAUAGAUGUUAUAUAUCUGUGUAUUUAAUUGCAUUUCAACAUGUAUGAAGUGAUGUAGUUGUAUAAUUCUAUCUAUUGUAUUCUUAGUGUAGGGCUGUUUAGAGAGCAAAUGCACAUUUUAGUAUUUCUGUAUGGGCUGUCUGUAUUGCUUGUAGUAAUAUGUAAUAAAUUAAGUUAAGUCCUUAAACACCUAAUUAAUCUUUGUGUAUAGUGAGUUGUUGCAGAGAGUGGCAAUAAAUAAGUGUUUCUUAUCUGAA